GACGUAGGGAGCGAGCGUUGUCCGGAUUCAUUGGGCGUAAAGAGCGCGCAGGCGGCUUGGUAAGUCGGAUGUGAAAACCCGGAGCUCAACUCCGGGCGUGCAUCCGAUACUGCCCGGCUAGAGGUAGGUAGGGGAGAUCGGAAUUCCUGGUGUAGCGGUGGAAUGCGCAGAUAUCAGGAGGAACACCGGUGGCGAAGGCGGAUCUCUGGGCCUUACCUGACGCUCAGGCGCGAAAGCUAGGGGAGCGAACAGG
Molecule: ribosomal RNA, 253 nt
Filed under: uncultured bacterium
Lineage: Bacteria
Description: partial 16S ribosomal RNA
Rfam family: Bacterial small subunit ribosomal RNA
Source: RNAcentral